RNAcentral lists this ribosomal RNA (301 nucleotides) under uncultured bacterium. RNAcentral's name for it is "partial 16S ribosomal RNA". It matches the Rfam family "Bacterial small subunit ribosomal RNA", at positions 509 to 807 of the family's 1533-position model. The record is from RNAcentral.
CAGCAGCCGCGGUAAAACGGAGGGUGCAAGCGUUAAUCGGAAUUACUGGGCGUAAAGCGCACGCAGGCGGUCUGUCAAGUCAGAUGUGAAAUCCCCGGGCUUAACCUGGGAACUGCAUUUGAAACUGGCAGGCUAGAGUCUUGUAGAGGGGGGUAGAAUUCCAGGUGUAGCGGUGAAAUGCGUAGAGAUCUGGAGGAAUACCGGUGGCGAAGGCGGCCCCCUGGACAAAGACUGACGCUCAGGUGCGAAAGCGUGGGGAGCAAACAGGAUUAGAUACCCGAGUAGUCCCUGUCUCUUAUAC